CCUACGGGAGGCAGCAGUGGGGAAUCUUGCGCAAUGGGCGAAAGCCUGACGCAGCAACGCCGCGUGCGGGAUGAAGGCCUUCGGGUCGUAAACCGCUUUCAGUAGGGACGAACUCAGACGGUACCUACAGAAGAAGCACCGGCCAACUACGUGCCAGCAGCCGCGGUAACACGUAGGGUGCAAGCGUUGUCCGGAAUCAUUGGGCGUAAAGAGCUCGUAGGCGGCUUAGUAAGUCGGGUGUGAAACCCCCAGGCUCAACCUGGGGACGCCACCCGAUACUGCUAUAGCUAGAGUCCAGUAGGGGAGUGCGGAAUUUCCGGUGUAGCGGUGAAAUGCGCAGAUAUCGGAAGGAACACCAGCGGCGAAGGCGGCACUCUGGGCUGGUACUGACGCUCAGGAGCGAAAGCGUGGGUAGCGAACAGGAUUAGAUACCCUGGUAG
Molecule: ribosomal RNA, 440 nt
Filed under: uncultured bacterium
Lineage: Bacteria
Description: bacterial SSU rRNA
Rfam family: Bacterial small subunit ribosomal RNA
Source: RNAcentral